RNAcentral lists this ribosomal RNA (1325 nucleotides) under metagenome. RNAcentral describes it as "bacterial LSU rRNA". It matches the Rfam family "Bacterial large subunit ribosomal RNA", at positions 1561 to 2925 of the family's 2925-position model. The record is from RNAcentral.
AGUGGAUGGGGAGCAACCUAGUUGUGCGUGUGUAAAGGUAGUGCCAAGAAAAGCGGUGAUCAUGAUGAAAAUCAAUUCCCGGUACCCGAAACCGACACAGGUGGGCAAGUAGAGAAUACUAAGGGGCGCGAGGUAACUCUCUCCAAGGAACUCGGCAAAAUGACCCCGUAACUUAGGGAGAAGGGGUGCCACCGAGAGGUGGUCGCAGUGAAGAGGCCCAGGCGACUGUUUAGCAAAAACAUAGGUCUCUGCAAACUCGAAAGAGGAGGUAUAGGGGCUGACGCCUGCCCAGUGCCGGAAGGUUAAAGAAGUUGGUCAGUCUUAGGAUAAAGCUAGCGACUGAAGCCCCGGUGAACGGCGGCCGUAACUAUAACGGUCCUAAGGUAGCGAAAUUCCUUGUCGGGUAAGUUCCGACCCGCACGAAAGGCGUAACGAUCUGGGCGCUGUCUCGGAGAGAGGCUCGGCGAAAUAGGAUUGUCUGUGAAGAUACGGACUACCUGCAUUUGGACAGAAAGACCCUAUGAAGCUUUACUAUAGCUUGGAAUUGUGUUCGGGCUUCCUGUGCGCAGGAUAGGUGGGAGGCGUAGAAGGUAUUCUUGUGGGGAUACUGGAGCGAACGGUGAGAUACCACUCUCAGGAGGCUAGAAUUCUAACUUAAUUAAGGACAGUUUCAGGUGGGUAGUUUGACUGGGGCGGUCGCCUCCAAAAAGGUAACGGAGGCGUACAAAGGUUCCCUCAGACUGGUUGGAAAUCAGUCGCAGAGUGCAAAGGCAGAAGGGAGCUUGACUGCGAGAAGUACAGUUCGAGCAGGGUGGAAACACGGUCUUAGUGAUCCGACGGUGCUGUGUGGAAGGGCCGUCGCUCAACGGAUAAAAGUUACUCUAGGAUAACAGGCUGAUCUCCCCCAAGAGUUCACAUCGACGGGGAGGUUUGGCACCUCGAUGUCGGCUCAUCGCAACCUGGGGCGGAAGUACGUCCCAAGGGUUGGGCUGUUCGCCCAUUAAAGCGGUACGUGAGCUGGGUUCAGAACGUCGUGAGACAGUUCGGUCCAUAUCCGAUGUAGGCGUGAGAAUAUUGAGAGGAGCCUUCCUUAGUACGAGAGGACCGGGAAGGACGCACCGCUGGUGUACCUGUUAUGAUGCCAAUUGUAAACGCAGGGUAGCCAAGUGCGGAGAGGAUAACCGCUGAAAGCAUCUAAGUGGGAAGCCCACCUCAAGAUGAGUAUUCUGGUGUAAGGUCACGGGAAGACGACCCGUAAAUAGGCACGAGGUGGAAGUGCAGAGAUGUAUGAAGCCGAAGUGUACUAAUAGACCGUCGGCUUGACC